RNAcentral lists this ribosomal RNA (468 nucleotides) under uncultured bacterium. RNAcentral describes it as "partial 16S ribosomal RNA". It matches the Rfam family "Bacterial small subunit ribosomal RNA", at positions 28 to 507 of the family's 1533-position model. The record is from RNAcentral.
GACGAACGCUGGCGGCGUGCUUAACACAUGCAAGUCGAACGGAAAGGCCCUGCUCUUGUGGGGUUCUCGAUUGGCGAACGGGUGAGUAACACGCGUGUAACCUCCCCCUAUCUUUGGGAUAACUUCAGGAAAAUGGGGCUCAUAUCGGAUAGGAGCUCCUGCUGCAUGUGGGGGGUUGGAAAAUUUCGGUGGUUGUGGAUGGUAUCGCGGCUUGCGAGCUUGUUUGUGUGGUAGUGGCUUACCAGGGCUUCGAGGGGUAGGCCGCCUGGGAGGGGGGCCGGCCACAAUGGGACUGCGGGAGGGCCCAGACUCCUACGGGAGGCAGUGGUGGGGAAUAUUGCACAAUGGGGGGGAGCCAGAUGCAGAAACGCCGCGUGCGGGAUGACGUGCUUCGGGUGGUAAACCGCUGUCGACUGUGACGAAGCGUGAGUGACGGUAAUGGGUAAAGAAGCACCGGCUAACUACGUG